RNAcentral lists this ribosomal RNA (544 nucleotides) under Clavispora lusitaniae. RNAcentral's name for it is "partial large subunit ribosomal RNA". It matches the Rfam family "Eukaryotic large subunit ribosomal RNA", at positions 45 to 659 of the family's 3401-position model. Lineage: Eukaryota; Fungi; Ascomycota; Pichiomycetes; Serinales; Metschnikowiaceae. The record is from RNAcentral.
AAUAGCGGAGGAAAAGAAACCAACAGGGAUUGCCCCAGUAACGGCGAGUGAAGCGGCAAAAGCUCAAAUUUGAAAUCCUGCGGGAAUUGUAAUUUGAAGGUUUCGUGGUCUGAGUCGGCCGCGCCCAAGUCCAUUGGAACAUGGCGCCUGGGAGGGUGAGAGCCCCGUAUGGCGCACGCCGACUCUUUGCACCGCGGCUCCGACGAGUCGAGUUGUUUGGGAAUGCAGCUCUAAGUGGGUGGUAAAUUCCAUCUAAAGCUAAAUAUUGGCGAGAGACCGAUAGCGAACAAGUACAGUGAUGGAAAGAUGAAAAGCACUUUGAAAAGAGAGUGAAACAGCACGUGAAAUUGUUGAAAGGGAAGGGCUUGCAAGCAGACACGGUUUUACCGGGCCAGCGUCGAAAAGGGGGGAGGAACAAGAACUCGAGAAUGUGGCGCGCACCUUCGGGCGCGCGUGUUAUAGCUCGUGUUGACGCCUCCAUCCCUUUUCGAGGCCUGCGAUUCUAGGACGCUGGCGUAAUGGUUGCAAGCCGCCCGUCUUGAAA